GGCCCUAAGUUCUGUGAUAGUAGUCCGUGUUCAAUCGAUACGUCAUUAAUUAUUCUGAGGUUGAUCCUGGGCAUAUCUACUAUCGAUCAGCCAAAGAUAUCUAAAUUUUCCUUUUUGGAGGGGACCGGUGCCUUGGCGACUGGUGGUGUUGGCAUUGAGGACUUCUAGGCCGUUGGUCCCGAGGAGGGGUUCUAGGCCUUUGACAUCAAGGUGGAGUUCUAGAUCGCCGCCAAUCUCUCAGGGGAUCUUAAUGAAUUGGAGGAGCUUGAAACUUGGC
RNAcentral lists this long non-coding RNA (277 nucleotides) under Elaeis guineensis (African oil palm). RNAcentral describes it as "long non-coding RNA (EGUI_LNC035392)". Lineage: Eukaryota; Viridiplantae; Streptophyta; Magnoliopsida; Arecales; Arecaceae. The record is from RNAcentral.